Molecule: ribosomal RNA, 775 nt
Filed under: uncultured Neocallimastigales
Lineage: Eukaryota; Fungi; Neocallimastigomycota; Neocallimastigomycetes; Neocallimastigales
Description: partial large subunit ribosomal RNA
Rfam family: Eukaryotic large subunit ribosomal RNA
Source: RNAcentral
CGCAUCUGUGCAUGCAGCAUAUCAAUAAGCGGAGGAAAAGAAACUAACAAGGAUUCCCCUAGUAACGGCGAGUGAAGCGGGAAGAGCUCAAAUUUGAAAUCUUAAAGGGUUUCCCUUUACGAAUUGUAGUUUAAAGAAGUGUUUUCUGUUGAGGUUUUGGUAAAAGUUCUUUGGAAUAGGACAUCAUAGAGGGUGAGAAUCCCUGUAUUUGACCUUUACUUUCAACUUUGUGAUACACUUUCAAAGAGUCGGAUUGUUUGGGAAUGCAGUCCAAAAUGGGUGGUAAAUUUCAUCUAAAGCUAAAUAUUGGCGAGAGACCGAUAGCGAACAAGUACCGUGAGGGAAAGAUGAAAAGAACUUUGAAAAGAGAGUUAAACAGUACGUGAAAUUGUCAAAAGGGAAGCGUUUGACACCAGUGUUGUUUUUCUGAAAAUCAAUUAAAGAACUGUUUAUGCUAAGUUGUUUAGACUUUAUCAGCUAACUGUUUAGUUUUGAGCUUUUCUUUAAUGCACUUUUCAGUUAACAAGUCAACAUCAAUUUCUUUUGCUGUAAAAAAGCUUGAGGAAGGUGGCUUGAGAUUCGUCUUAAGUGUUUAUAGCCUCUUGCCUAUGCAGUCGGAGAGAUUGAGGUCUGCAGCGUAGAUCCUUCGGGGCUAAAUGCAUUUGUGCUAAGUUAUAACAUUUUAUAGACAACUUGUUGACUAUGAUUUGUCUUGUAGCUUACUCGCUUAUGUUAUUUUACCUACGCUUAGGAUGUUGACAGCAGUAUAGACUGU